CUGAAGAGUCCAAAAUAUUUAUGACCUGACCCUGUACAGAAAAAUGUGCUGACCUAUGGUAUAGAACCUUUCUUGAUCCAUAUCCAGUGGUGUCCCAGGAAGAGAAAUCUGAAGUCUGGCAGACACUGAAAAGAGAAUAUCUCAUUGGAUGGUGUGCUAGUUAACUUGGCGUUGCUGUGACCAAAAUAAAAGAAGAAUAACAGAAGAGGGAGCAUUUAUUUGUGUCUCAAGUUUUCAGAGGUCUCAAUCCAGUAACAGUGGAAUCCAUUGCUUUGGGCACAAGGAUGCUUCUACCUGAGGAGCUUUCCUCAGCCGUGCCCUUCUGCCAUGAUGUUCGGCCUCAUCUUGAGUCUAGAGCAAUGGAGUCAGCCACCCAUAGACUGAACCUCUGAAACCACGAGCCAAAAUAAACUUUUCAUCCUGAUUUGUCCUUA
Molecule: long non-coding RNA, 434 nt
Organism: Marmota monax (woodchuck)
Lineage: Eukaryota; Metazoa; Chordata; Mammalia; Rodentia; Sciuridae
Exons: 3
Source: RefSeq, a predicted model, not a curated record